CUUAAUUUUUUCUUAAAUUACAUCUCUGCCAUUCAGUCUGUUAUAAACACCCGCCGACAGUAGAAUGCUAGAACUCCAGAAGGUUCAGGUUUUUUCGCUCUCUCACUUCUCCUUAUCAACUUGACAGUGGUGCAGAUAUUUAGCAACGAUUAGAUACGCGGAAAGGAUUGAUUUCUAUGGCAAAGGGAUUGAUUUCCGUCUCAAAUCAAUAUUCCAUCUCUAACCUGCAUUUGAUCACUCGGCACGAGGUUAUUGAGCUUCCUCGAAGAGAGACAAAGCUCGAGCUUUCUGUAGAUGACGAUCUUCUUCAUUUUAAGAGAAUUAAGAUUGGGUAUCUGCACCUGAGGAUUCUAGAUUUGUAUAAUAAGUGGAUUGCUUCUUUUUUCUACAGUCGUGUAAGGAGGAUUGAGAGGUUUAGGGUCGAAGAGAUAGAGAGAAAUCGGAGGCAAGUUCUCACCUCAUCAUCUGAGAUCGGAGGCUUGGGUUCGUUUUGGAAGAGAUGUGUGCCAAGAUUGUGAUUGAGUUUAGGAGACGGGCUUUGGGAGCAAAAGAGAUCGAUCAGCUUCGGUCCAAUCUUGAAUCUCUAAUUGCCAGCCGGGUUCAAAUCUUUUUCAUUUGCUUCUGAGAUCAACAUCAGAGCAAACCCAGACUCGAUUACAGAAUUUAUCAGUUAAUUGUGCAGGCCAAAUAAAGGAGGUCGUUCUAAAGCACCAGUUAUAUAUACUGGAAAAAUCAUGUGCUUCACAAUACCAAUGACUACAAUUUUCUCAUUGUAUACACAUAUUUAUGACUUCGACCGAUAUAACAAGGAUGUUGGUGUUGCUCAGUUCACAACAAAAAAUUUUGUUGUUAGAAACUGCCUUCCAAAUGCCAAAUCAGAUAUAUGCUUUUAUCAGCAUGGAAUCCUCCACCUGAAGGGGGAAAGCAUGUACACUUCCUUUUGUGUUGCAUACUCAUUCUAUAGAAAUGAAAGAACCCUUUGAAGAUGAUAUUGUGUUAGCUCUGCUCAGCUGUUAAAAUAUGCUUAUAGCUACCGAAUGGUCUUAUGGAUAGUCCCUAAACCCAAGAUAGCGAACCAACAACUUCCACGCCAAAUCCUGUUAAGCUUGGGAAGAAGAGGAAUCUAGAUGGACUGCAGAAGGAAUUGUUCACACCAGAACCAAGCAAGAACCCAAGAAGGUAAGUUUUAAAAUCUUUGUUUGAUCAGUUCAACUAGGAAUAGCUUCAAUUUUGAUUUAGGAACCGUACUCAAUGUGUGCAGUCUCUUUUUCACUUAGUUUUUGCAUUUUAUCUUCUCUGUCCAUUCAAUUU
RNA transcript from Rosa chinensis, 1311 nucleotides. RefSeq lists it as uncharacterized. NCBI's taxonomy places the organism in Eukaryota, Viridiplantae, Streptophyta, Magnoliopsida, Rosales, Rosaceae. The transcript is spliced from 7 exons. The record is from RefSeq and is a predicted model, not a curated record.